UGGCGCGGGGAGGGCCGACAGUG
RNAcentral lists this microRNA (23 nucleotides) under Dasypus novemcinctus (nine-banded armadillo). Its description in RNAcentral is "dno-miR-675-5p". Its record names the gene dno-miR-675-5p. Lineage: Eukaryota; Metazoa; Chordata; Mammalia; Cingulata; Dasypodidae. The record is from miRBase by way of RNAcentral.